RNAcentral lists this transfer RNA (68 nucleotides) under Palaemon sinensis. Its description in RNAcentral is "tRNA-Ser". It matches the Rfam family "tRNA". From Rfam's summary of the family: Transfer RNA (tRNA) molecules are approximately 80 nucleotides in length. Their secondary structure includes four short double-helical elements and three loops (D, anti-codon, and T loops). Further hydrogen bonds mediate the characteristic L-shaped molecular structure. tRNAs have two regions of fundamental functional importance: the anti-codon, which is responsible for specific mRNA codon recognition, and the 3' end, to which the tRNAs corresponding amino acid is attached (by aminoacyl-tRNA synthetases). tRNAs cope with the degeneracy of the genetic code in two manners: having more than one tRNA (with a specific anti-codon) for a particular amino acid; and 'wobble' base-pairing, i.e. permitting non-standard base-pairing at the 3rd anti-codon position. Lineage: Eukaryota; Metazoa; Arthropoda; Malacostraca; Decapoda; Palaemonidae. The record is from RNAcentral.
GACUAUUAUCUUUAGGAAGAAAAAUGUUUUGAAAGCAUUAAAAAGGAGUUCAAAUCUCCUAAUAGUCU